CAGCAGCCGCGGUAAUACGUAGGUGGCAAGCGUUGUCCGGAAUUAUUGGGCGUAAAGGGCUCGCAGGCGGUUUCUUAAGUCUGAUGUGAAAGCCCCCGGCUCAACCGGGGAGGGUCAUUGGAAACUGGGAAACUUGAGUGCAGUAGAGGAGAGUGGAAUUCCACGUGUAGCGGUGAAAUGCGUAGAGAUGUGGAGGAACACAGUGGCGAAGGCGACUCUCUGGUCUGUAACUGACGCUGAGGAGCGAAAGCGUGGGGAGCGAACAGGAUUAGAUACCCGCGUAGUCCCUGUCUCUUAUACA
This 301-nucleotide ribosomal RNA is filed under the name uncultured bacterium. Its description in RNAcentral is "partial 16S ribosomal RNA". It matches the Rfam family "Bacterial small subunit ribosomal RNA", at positions 509 to 808 of the family's 1533-position model. The record is from RNAcentral.